CGCCUGCCACGCGGGAGGCCCGGG
This 24-nucleotide non-coding RNA is filed under the name Drosophila virilis. The record is from RNAcentral. RNAcentral also lists the same sequence under 4 other names. Lineage: Eukaryota; Metazoa; Arthropoda; Insecta; Diptera; Drosophilidae.